UACGUAGGGGGCAAGCGUUGUCCGGAUUUAUUGGGCGUAAAGAGCGUGUAGGCGGCCUGAAAGGUCAGCUGUGAAACUCGAGGCUCAACCUCGAGACGUCGGUUGAAACCAUCUGGCUAGAGUCCGGAAGAGGAGUGUGGAAUUCCCGGUGUAGCGGUGAAAUGCGCAGAUAUCGGGAAGAACACCCGUGGCGAAGGCGGCACUCUGGGACGGUACUGACGCUGAGACGCGAAAGCGUGGGGAGCGAACGAGG
This 253-nucleotide ribosomal RNA is filed under the name uncultured bacterium. RNAcentral describes it as "partial 16S ribosomal RNA". It matches the Rfam family "Bacterial small subunit ribosomal RNA", at positions 524 to 777 of the family's 1533-position model. The record is from RNAcentral.